GUUUGCUGCCUGGAGCCGAAGCAGGAGGAACAGAGCUGGAAGCUGCUCCCCUCAUGACUCCUCAGCAACAAGUAUCUCCUCCAUGGAAUAACCCACCCUGCUCCUUCCUAGAGCAGCUGGGUACUUGCUGAAGGCUUCCCAUCUAUCUGCUGACCCAGCCCAAUGCUGUUUAGCUGUGAAAGCUGUCAGACACAGGAGAAGAUAACUGUACUAGUUACGCACAUCGCGGGUGGAGAGACAGCUAUUGCAGCUCCAAAAAUAGCAGCAGAGAACUGGAUGUUCGUAAAUUCUGCUCUCUGUAUUUAUCCAAGACGACGAGGAACAGCAGUGGCUGGUCACCAAGGGGUCGUUUUCUUUCCCAGAAGGAUUUUUCAUUCUGCGGAUCAUCUUUCCCAUACAAAAAUCACAGAUAGUGAAGAAAAGAAACACUGUCCCAGGUGAACCCAGACCGCUUGUGAUUGACACAUACAGAAAGUGAAGCUGAGGGCCGGGCUGGCAAGGGUGCUAGCUGGGAGCAGAGAUGAACCAAAGCAGAGCCCAGCCUCUUCUUUGCAGGGGAAGUAUGUCUGAGAUGGAACAACCUGACACUCCUGAUUUCAUAUCAAUCAUCUUCCGUUCGCUAAAUUACGGGGAGCCCUAAUCAUGGAGGAGGACCCCAUUGCACUGGGUGCUGUAACAACAAAAGAUGGUCCCUGCACCGAGUUUACAACCUAAAUAGACAAGAAGACAUAGGGUGCGAGAAGGGGUAGAAUACACGAAGAGAGUGAACAAUGUGAUGGCAGCCAAUACCAUGUCAGUUAAACUGCAUUAAAUCCUGGUGUGUUCAUUUAUUCAAAAUAAAAGUGGCUUUAAUUUGGUUUAUCUUGAUUCACUUUGGAAAUGAAUUAACCUAAACCAAAGUAAGGCCACUUUAUUUCUGAAUGAGCGUGUCCACAUCGGGGUUUAAUUGAGCCACUUUAAAUUCAAACCUUUAGUUAAUUCAGAGUAACAGAGUUACUAAUGUUCUUGUCAGUUCCCCAUGGCAGUUGCUUGCCUUCCACUGGUUUGUGAUCCAACAGUCAGGUUGGCAGGGGAUGAAUACGGGUUGGGACUGGAGGAGUGGAAAAUUAAGGAGCUGGCUGCUGGGAGGUUGGGUCGGGGUUCUGUAUGGGCUAGUAAGGGAGCUUAGAGAGGGAUGGAGGGGAGGGAGAGAAGGGAUCCGAGAAGGUGUAUACAGCUCAUCGCUGUUCUAAGGGGUAACAUGACUUCUGACUCGCAACAUUUUGCAUACAUGUCCAUUUCACUUUCAGAUAGGCUACCUGUGCUGCUGAAAGCAAGCAUGGGUGGGCAGGAACUCCAUUUCUAUUCCCUGUGCCUGUCAGAGUCACUAGCACAGUAGAAGCAGCCUCAGCUGUACCAGGAUCCUUAGGCAAAGCAACCCCAGAAUAAUUUGCCUUGCUGAGCUGUCAUAUGGCUUUCAGAGACGGCUCCAUUAGUAGUGCUUAUUUGAGACCCAACAGGUGACCCUCUUGUAAAAUGGAUAUUAUCAUUCCAUGGAAAAGGCCUUUGGCUUCCAAUGUUUACUUUCCUCCCCUCCCCCCCAUCAUGUAAUAAAGAUACUAGCUAUUAUUUUUGUAUCACCAACCCAAUAUGUCACAAAGUCAUAGAGUUUAGGGCCAGAAGAGACCACCAGAUCAUCUCCUCGGACCUCCUUUGUAUUACAGUGCUUCCCGAGCCAUCAUGCUUCACCUGCUGGCAGCUGAAAUUGCACAUGUUAAAUGCGCCUAAGAUGCAACAGACCUGUAAUGCUUUCAAGUGGAGAACACGUGCUAUUGGAAACCUUCCCAUCACAUUUCCAAUCAGAAGGACGUACUAAACUAUACAGGCUCCAGAUGGCAUUUAGUGGCCUUCUACCAAGAGGAGUACUUAUAAGGAAAUUGCUACUGGAUCACUGACUGGUAACUCUGAGGACAACUUCUUCCAACCUGGAUAAGGACAAAAAUAGCCAGUUAAUCACUGUCAGGAGAAUAAACAAAGACUCCAUGAGCCAAAAUGAGAACCCCUCAUUGGUGUGCUUCUGUAACACUCAGCAGCUGAGUUCAAGCUGUGAUCUAAGUGUCCAGCCACUGUGCCUCUAGCAAGCAGUUUGACUGCACCACACAGACCUUUGCUCUCAGAAACACUCGUCCAGUUCAGCUGAAGGAGUAAUAAAGGAUGGCUAUUUCAGGAGCGGAGAGAGGCUGGGAAAUAUAAGCAAUAUGAGAUUAAAUGCAACUCGAGUUGGGUAGGGGCAGCAGCAUAGGGUAGGAUUUAAA
Long non-coding RNA from Trachemys scripta elegans, 2294 nucleotides. RefSeq lists it as uncharacterized. The transcript has 3 exons. The record is from RefSeq and is a predicted model, not a curated record. Lineage: Eukaryota; Metazoa; Chordata; Testudines; Emydidae.